Scophthalmus maximus (turbot) is the source of this 658-nucleotide long non-coding RNA. RefSeq lists it as uncharacterized. NCBI's taxonomy places the organism in Eukaryota, Metazoa, Chordata, Actinopteri, Pleuronectiformes, Scophthalmidae. The record is from RefSeq and is a predicted model, not a curated record. The transcript is spliced from 3 exons.
ACACACCAUUGUUUUCUCUCGGCAAGCGACGACGGACCGCUAGCAUUAUACCGAAAAGAGUAAAUAACAUUUGCCUGUUGUUGGCUGUACAGACCAACAUAAAUCUGUACAUGGACUCCCAGCCUCAGAGGACACAAGAGCAGGUGGAUUGAUCAUUUUUUUAUGGAAAUGUUUCAGCCACAGUCUGUAAAAACCUGCGAGUUUGUGUGAACCACUUUGUCGGACUGUUCUUCAAACCUGGGACAGUACAACACCAGACUGGUAGAAAAACUUUUUGUGCAAGAUGGAGCAAUUCCAACUGUCCGUGGCGAAGCUACAGAGGAGAGAAAUAGCCUGAGAAGUUGGGCAAGUGGACUUCACUGUUUAAGGCCCAUUCAAAACAUCGAGUGCUCCACUUGCUCCCGUAUCACGUGACCCGUGUAUUCGCGUUUUAUCGCAAAUAAUGAAGACCCCCUCUUCCCCAAGACAAAGAAGGGUGAAGCCACCACAAAGCCUUUUGAAGCAGAACCCACAUUCAAUUAUGUGGUUGACUUGAUGAGGAUGGUGUUUGAGGGCCCAGCACCAUUUGUGGAGGAGGUGAAAUAAAUCCACAUCCCCAAGGAUCUGUCAUCCCAAUACGACAGGCUGUCAAAGGAGGAAAUGGUUGAUCGCCACAUGU